AACGAACGCUGGCGGCAUGCCUAACACAUGCAAGUCGAACGAGACCUUCGGGUCUAGUGGCGCACGGGUGCGUAACGCGUGGGAACCUUCCCUUAGGUUCGGAAUAACUCCCCGAAAGGGGUGCUAAUACCGGAUAAUGUCUUCGGACCAAAGAUUUAUCGCCUUUGGAUGGGCCCGCGUUGGAUUAGCUAGUUGGUAGGGUAAAAGCCUACCAAGGCGACCAUCCAUAGCUGGUCUGAGAGGAUGAUCAGCCACACUGGGACUGAGACACGGCCCAGACUCCUACGGGAGGCAGCAGUGGGGAAUAUUGGAAAAUGGGCGAAAGCCUGAUCCAGCAAUGCCGCGUGAGUGAUGAAGGCCUUAGGGUUGUAAAGCUCUUUUAACCGGGAUGAUAAUGACAGUACCGGGAGAAUAAGCCCCGGCUAACUCCGUG
This 433-nucleotide ribosomal RNA is filed under the name uncultured bacterium. RNAcentral describes it as "partial 16S ribosomal RNA". It matches the Rfam family "Bacterial small subunit ribosomal RNA", at positions 29 to 507 of the family's 1533-position model. The record is from RNAcentral.